Long non-coding RNA from Andrographis paniculata, 945 nucleotides. RefSeq lists it as uncharacterized. The record is from RefSeq and is a predicted model, not a curated record. Lineage: Eukaryota; Viridiplantae; Streptophyta; Magnoliopsida; Lamiales; Acanthaceae. The transcript has 3 exons.
GCCAAAAUUGAAUCGAUCUCAAUUUCUCUCGUCUAACUCUCCUUCUAUUAUCGAACCCUCAUCGAAGCAAGCACCGCCGGAGACGGCGGUGAACUUCCGUUCACCAGAUCCGGUCCACUACCACUCCCCACAUCCUAUUCUAGCCCCCGCUUCUAUCUCUUGCCUCAUUAUCUAUCUCGUGUCUAUAUGGUAGGUCGAGUCCAUUUAGUUACCAUCGCAAGCUUGUGGUCGUUCUCUGACCAUUUUCUACAGGUAAUGGCAUCCCAUCGCCGGCCCCCUAGGUUUGCCAUCAGCCAUUGCUUAGAUUAAACUAUUCCCCGCUCAAUCUCAGGUUGUCCCCAUUGUUCUCCCUGUUUCAUGGUUAUCUCUCUUCUUCAUGGUUUCUCGAUGUGGGGAUAGAGAUGGAUCAAUUUUGACUUGUGAGUUGAGGGGCAAAAGAGAAAGGAGAAAGACAAGUUGUAUGCGACUGCUACCAUAACAUACCAAUUUAGGUAAUCCGACAGGUGAUACCCUAGCUAUUGUCAAGGCAUUUGUUACCGCUGUUAGAGUCCUGGUGACUGUACUUAUUCUCCCAAGUAAUGCCGGAGUGAAAUGCUCAAUGAGGUACUCGACGAAGAAAACAUCAAGUGGACUUACAAGGUUGUACAAUUUCUUUAAAAAUGUUUAUUCUUUUGGGAAUUAAAUUACUUUAGAUGAUGAUAUAAUUCUUAUAUAUCAUUGGAAACACAUUGCAGUUGGUUGACCGCCUCUGAUUGCUUUAUUUGUGAUUUUGCACUCGAUGAGCUUGGUCGUUCAUAGUUGUAUUUGUUAGUCGACCUUAGGAUUGUGCAAUUUGAUACCAUAUUUAUUUAUUUCACGUAUUACCUUUGAAUUUGGGGAUCAAGUGUUAGCAAGUUGUUUGGUUGUUAUGGUGUAUGGCAUGGUGACUUUUGAAGAUGUUUUAAA